Molecule: transfer RNA, 71 nt
Filed under: Phytophthora boehmeriae
Lineage: Eukaryota; Oomycota; Peronosporomycetes; Peronosporales; Peronosporaceae
Also listed under: 4 other names
Rfam family: tRNA
About the family: Transfer RNA (tRNA) molecules are approximately 80 nucleotides in length. Their secondary structure includes four short double-helical elements and three loops (D, anti-codon, and T loops). Further hydrogen bonds mediate the characteristic L-shaped molecular structure. tRNAs have two regions of fundamental functional importance: the anti-codon, which is responsible for specific mRNA codon recognition, and the 3' end, to which the tRNAs corresponding amino acid is attached (by aminoacyl-tRNA synthetases). tRNAs cope with the degeneracy of the genetic code in two manners: having more than one tRNA (with a specific anti-codon) for a particular amino acid; and 'wobble' base-pairing, i.e. permitting non-standard base-pairing at the 3rd anti-codon position.
Source: Rfam by way of RNAcentral
GGCUAGAUAACAUAACGGUAAUGUAAAGGACUGCAAAUCCUUUAAUGACGGUUCAAAUCCGUCUCUAGCUU